Molecule: long non-coding RNA, 679 nt
Organism: Brachypodium distachyon (stiff brome)
Lineage: Eukaryota; Viridiplantae; Streptophyta; Magnoliopsida; Poales; Poaceae
Exons: 2
Source: RefSeq, a predicted model, not a curated record
GAUCUAGUAGGUGCAACCUGCAUAGUUGUUGGUAUGGCAUCUAUCUUUGGCGUGCGUUCUCGAGUUCUUCUUUCCUUGUACAAUUCCCAAUAGAGAGAAGGAUGCUUGAACCAACACGAUCGACACUUUGCCUCGUAUUUUAUCGGGAACUGGACCGAGUACCGCAAGGGCCGAACGGCGGGCAACAAGGGGACCGGCCACUGUCCGGCCCGACAGAAGAACAGAGGAGAGCGGCCCAUUGAGUGUUUUGGGUCCGAACCAGCCCAGAGGAGAGGAAGGCUGAGUGGGCUGGAUCGAUCAACAUUCUCUUCAUGGGCCUAGCAAGUCUAACGUUCUCGGCCUGGGCCUAGCUCUUUUUUUUUGGGAAUUUCACAAAACAAAAUGAAAUGGAAAACAAAUGUCAAUCUGAAUCAUCGACACACUAGUAGCUCAUGAUGUGGCUGCCAGAGUGUAAUCCCCACAUGAAAAAUCGCCAGCUCCUGGCUGUGUAUGCUUUUGUUCGUUACUUUGUAACUGAGGGGAAAAAACCAACUCAAGAGAAAUGUACAAGUGGAUGCAUUAAUUCACCGUUGGUUUCAUAUAUUACACAAAUCACCAAAGUCAUCCCAGCAGCUCUCCUAAGUAACCAGACCUGCGUUUAACCAACAAAGUAUCGUCCAUCUUCGUGCCCUCUCACCGC